GAGUCCGCGUAACCCUUUACCUGAGCUGCCCGCGCCGCGCCCGGGCUUCCGGAGCGCCACCGCCGACCCCCCGAGCCCGGGCUGGCCUGCGGGGCGCACCCAAACAGAAAACCCCGGAGUUCGGCCUCUGAUCACCGACACCCCGGCUGCAUGCCAGCCUCUGUCCGCGCAGGGAAACUUUUUGGUGCCUAUUUUGCCGUCGUGCUGCAGGGAGAAGGGAGCUUCCUGAUUUGGGACCAUUUCCGACUUGGGUCUGAGGUAAUAAGCUGCUGGCACCGAGUUCUCAUCCCGACAAUACCACUCUUCCAGUAACUUGGUCUCCAGCUUCGCCUCUACGGCAGCAUCCAAAAUCAUUUCAAACUCUGACGCUUCAACUUCUCCAGGGAUUCGGAUGUUCCCAUAUUUUUCACCUAAUAGUCCCUGUGUAUCACCAAGAAAGUUCAGCUUAGUGUAUCACCAAGAAAGUCCAUUUCAGUAUUCAUAUCAUAUGGCCACUCAAUAAAUAUUAAUAAAUAGAUAACAAGA
Molecule: long non-coding RNA, 525 nt
Organism: Balaenoptera musculus (blue whale)
Lineage: Eukaryota; Metazoa; Chordata; Mammalia; Artiodactyla; Balaenopteridae
Exons: 2
Source: RefSeq, a predicted model, not a curated record